This 73-nucleotide transfer RNA is filed under the name Camelus bactrianus (Bactrian camel). It matches the Rfam family "tRNA". Rfam says of the family: Transfer RNA (tRNA) molecules are approximately 80 nucleotides in length. Their secondary structure includes four short double-helical elements and three loops (D, anti-codon, and T loops). Lineage: Eukaryota; Metazoa; Chordata; Mammalia; Artiodactyla; Camelidae. RNAcentral also lists the same sequence under 2 other names. The record is from Rfam by way of RNAcentral.
GAGGGUAUAGCUUAAGUGGUAAAGCACAUGUUUAGCAUGCAUGAGAUCCUGAGUUAAAUUCCCAGUACUUCCU